Molecule: long non-coding RNA, 2395 nt
Filed under: Homo sapiens (human)
Lineage: Eukaryota; Metazoa; Chordata; Mammalia; Primates; Hominidae
Description: long independently transcribed non-coding RNA 3082, transcript variant 7 (LINC03082)
Source: RNAcentral
GAAGUCAAAGUCCUUCCCUCUGUGUGUGGACUUCAGUGGAACUCUCAGGUCACAGAGAUUCAGGGUGGUCAGAGGCGGUUUGAUGUUUUGGGGAGAAAGAACAGCCGUGAAGGAUUCUGUGAUGCAGGAGAAGGUGGGAGGCCUCAGGACAGAAUCAGCAGGUCACCAUGCUUUCCUGCGUCAUCCACCUGUGGGCCUCUAAUGUGUUUCUAUGAAGUUUGCAUUAAAGUUUCAGCCACUAUUUUUCAGAAACAUGGUCAACCUCUCCUUCCCUCCUCUAUCUGCUGAUAGAGUUCUACAGAAAACAAGGGAAUGACUUGAGGAGGUGAGGUAAUGCGAAAGGGAGACAGGUCUUUUGGGUUUCUUUCUCCAUCGGCUCAGCUGUCAGAAUUGCAAUUUUGUUUAAAUAAUUUCUUAUGCUCAAAUUUAUUCAUCCAUUAAAAGGUGCCAUAAAUGAAAUGCAACUGCCAUUUCUUAUAGGGGGAUUCUGAAGGUUGUUGGUGGAUUCCUAGAAUGUAGCCCGCAGAACUGUGCCUGGAACGAUACCGGAUCACUGCAAAAGUACAGCGAACAGGGUCGCUUUGAAUAUUAAAGGAGGACUUUUUCAAAGUGUAUAGAGAGCAGUCAAAAGAUCGCCACAGUUGCUCUGUGUUUUCGUGAGCCAGCUUUCUCGGAAGGACUAAGCCAGUGGAUCACAAACAUCCUGGAGAGCAGUGACUCUGUGAUUCCAUCACAAGAAUAUGAAGGACUGAGAAGAUCUCCAGCUCUGCCCAUUGCACCUUCCCAUUGAGAAGCAGCAUGGCACCCUGGUGGCAGGGGCUGAUACUCAGCCGGGCCAGGGUGCUCUCCUGUUAACCAUAACCAAGCUCACAGGACAUGGGAUGAGCCCACUGUGUGACACAGGGAGCGGGACACAGUCUGUUAAGUCUUGCACAGCCAUGCUCUGCCACGCAGGCAGGCCUUUCCUUGGCCUCCCUCUCCCUGUUCGUGCUCAUGUGAACAUCCACCUACGUGGAUAGACUGGGCUUUGGUUCAUUAUUGCUCUGUGAAUUCCUCGAACUUCCGCAUCUGCCCAACCUCCCCCACCCCAUUGUUUUCAUUGUGUUUCACCAAAUGGAAAUUCUAGAGUAAGCAUGUGAGUCCUCUCCCAAACUUGUUCACUGUUGAGAGUGCUAAAAUGCUAACCCCAGAUGCUAACUGAGGGGUAGGGUUACCUUAUCUUUAGAGCACUGCGAAUUGUAUGUUAAGUGGAACUUAAUGAAAAAAUAGUUAAUUGACCAACAUGAAUAUCCCCUGAACAGAAUCUCCCCUGAACAGAAUCCUACAAUGAAACUAAGGGAGAUAAAUAAAGCUGUUUACCUGAAAGCUCUCUCUAAUCAAGAUCCUUUGAAAUUUAUAAAACAUGGUCAAUAUUUGCACUGGACUUUGUAAAAAUAAAGCUUGAUAAGAGAAGAGUUUGAAGUGAAAUGCUGCCACUUUCUAUGCAAUAUUUGAUUUAAAUUUAAUUCCUAGAAACCUCAGAUGAAUGUGGUUCAUGUAUCAAAGCACUCAGCAUUAUUUAUCGCGGCCUUAAAUACACAGUGAGCUUACAUGUGAAUGAAUACAUAUAUUAUGUAUCUCUCUCUAUAUAUAUACUAUAUAGAUAAUAUAGUAUAUAUAUAUAUAUAGUGUAUAUAUACACUAUAUAUAUCGUGUAUACAUAUACUAUCUAUAUAGUAUAUAUGUAUAUGGUAUAUAUAUCUAUCUAUAGAUAGAUAGAUAGAUAUACUUAAAAAAACCCCAUUCCCUUAAGAGCAGUUAAGGGACACCAUAUAUCAAAUUUCUUGGCACGUUGUGAAUAUUAAUAUCCCCAAAGUGUCAAUGUCAAAUGAUUUGACUUGAAAUCACUAAGCUUGGUAAUCUCACUAUUUUUAAACAAGGCCUAACAUCUUUUAAUCUUGAAUACCAGCAAGUUCUCAGACUUCAGUUGUUUAUUUUCUCUUUUCUUUCCUUUAAAAAAUUCUGACAAGCUCUUUUCCUUGACACAAAGAAAGCGUAUAAAUUUUAUUUUGGUUUGAACAACAGAAAUUUGCCUCUCAGAAUUCUGGAGAUUGGAAAGUCUAAGGACUAAGCUGCUGGCCAAUUUAGUUCUUAGUGAGGACUCUCUUCCUGGCUUGUAGAUGGCUGCCUUCUCACUGCAUCCUCAGAGAGAGAGAGAGAGAGGGCUCUUGUGUCUCUUCCUUUCUCAUAAAGCGUCAGCUCUCUUGUAUUAGGGUCCCACCCAUAAUUACCCCCUUAUAUGCCCCAUCUACAAAUAGAGUCACAUUGUGGGUUAGAGCUUGGCAGUGAAUAAUUAUGGAGGUUAUUGUUGGCUUUAGAAUUUCGUGGUAGAAACAAUAAAUUGCCUUUGUGUUUA